AGAGUUGAUCAUGGCUCAGGAUGAACGCUGGCGGCGUGCCUAACACAUGCAAGUCGAGCGGAGAUAAGUUGAAGCCUAGCGAUUCUUAUCUUAGCGGCGGAUGGGUGAGUAACACGUGGGUAACCUGCCCUGUACUGGGGAAUAACAGCUGGAAACGGCUGUUAAUGCCGCAUAUGCGCACGGAGCCGCAUGGCUUUGGGCGGAAAGAUUUAUCGGUACAGGAUGGGCCCGCGCCGGAUUAACUAGUUGGCGGGGUAACGGCCCACCAAGGUGAUGAUCCGUAGCCGACCUGAGAGGGUGACCGGCCACAUUGGGACUGAGACACGGCCCAAACUCCUACGGGAGGCAGCAGUGGGGGAUAUUGCACAAUGGGGGAAACCCUGAAUGCAGCGACGCCGCGUGAAGGAUGACGUAUUUCGGUAUGUAAACUUCUAUCAGCGGGGAAGAAGAUGACGGUACCCGACUAAGAAGCCCCGGCUAACUACGUGCCAGCAGCCGC
RNAcentral lists this ribosomal RNA (499 nucleotides) under uncultured bacterium. RNAcentral's name for it is "bacterial SSU rRNA". It matches the Rfam family "Bacterial small subunit ribosomal RNA", at positions 8 to 518 of the family's 1533-position model. The record is from RNAcentral.